RNAcentral lists this ribosomal RNA (220 nucleotides) under uncultured bacterium. RNAcentral describes it as "partial 16S ribosomal RNA". It matches the Rfam family "Bacterial small subunit ribosomal RNA", at positions 57 to 305 of the family's 1533-position model. The record is from RNAcentral.
GCAAGUCGAGCGCUACCUUCGGGUGGAGCGGCGGACGGGUUAGUAACGCGUGGGAACGUACCCAGAUCUAAGGAAUAGCCACUGGAAACGGUGAGUAAUACCUUAUACGCCCUUCGGGGGAAAGAUUUAUCGGAUUUGGAUCGGCCCGCGUUAGAUUAGAUAGUUGGUGGGGUAAUGGCCUACCAAGUCCAAGAUGGAUAGCUGGUCUGAGAGGAUGAUC